UACGGGGGGGGCUAGCGUUGCUCGGAAUUACUGGGCGUAAAGCGCACGUAGGCGGCUUUCUAAGUCGGGGGUGAAAUCCUGGAGCUCAACUCCAGAACUGCCUUCGAUACUGGAAAGCUCGAGUCCGAGAGGUGAGUGGAACUGCGAGUGUAGAGGUGAAAUUCGUAGAUAUUCGCAAGAACACCAGUGGCGAAGGCGGCUCACUGGCCCGGUACUGACGCUGAGGUGCGAAAGCGUGGGGAGCAAACAGG
Molecule: ribosomal RNA, 251 nt
Filed under: uncultured bacterium
Lineage: Bacteria
Description: partial 16S ribosomal RNA
Rfam family: Bacterial small subunit ribosomal RNA
Source: RNAcentral